GGGCCAUUAGCUCAGUUGGUUAGAGCUCCCGGCUCAUAACCGGUUGGUCCUGGGUUCGAGUCCCCGAUGGCCCACCA
RNAcentral lists this transfer RNA (77 nucleotides) under Clostridia bacterium. Its description in RNAcentral is "tRNA-Ile". It matches the Rfam family "tRNA". From Rfam's summary of the family: Transfer RNA (tRNA) molecules are approximately 80 nucleotides in length. Their secondary structure includes four short double-helical elements and three loops (D, anti-codon, and T loops). Lineage: Bacteria; Bacillati; Bacillota; Clostridia. The record is from RNAcentral. RNAcentral also lists the same sequence under 1 other name.